RNAcentral lists this long non-coding RNA (1353 nucleotides) under Cricetulus griseus (Chinese hamster). RNAcentral's name for it is "lncRNA (ENSCGRG00015029870.1)". The record is from RNAcentral. Lineage: Eukaryota; Metazoa; Chordata; Mammalia; Rodentia; Cricetidae.
CAGCCUCUGUGUUGAACCAUCGAAGCUCAACCUAUACAUCUCAAAUUACAAUUUUUAAACCAUUUUUAAAAAGUGUGUGUGUGAGAGAGACAGAGAGAGAGACAAAGAUAGAGAAAGAGAGAGUGUGUAUAAACAGGUGGAGGUCCUCUGACAACUUUCAGAAGUGGUUCUGUCCUCUACCAUUCGAGUUCCAGGGAUCCAACCCAAAUCCUCAGGCUGACAGGGUCUCACCUAUGUAGCUCUGCCUUCCUGGAAUUCAGUAAGUAGACCAGGCUGGACAGAACUCACAGAGAUCCGCCUGCCUCUGCCUCUCAAGUGCUGGGACUAAAGUGGUGCAACACUACACCCAGCUAUGUUUGUUUUUAUUUUAUGUGCAUUGGUGUUUUGCCUGCAUGUGUAUCUUGGGUUGGGCAUCAGAUCUAGAACUGGAGUUAAGAUGGAUGUGAGCUACUGUGUGGGUGCUGGGAAUUGAACCUAGGUCCUCUGGAAGCACAGCCAAUGCUUCCAUUAACUGCUGAGCCAUUUCUCCAGUCCUCAGUUUUUAAAAAGGUACCCAGUAUGUUUUAUAUUUAGACUGCUUCUGAGUAGGGUGUUUUGUAAGUUGAGAACUGUCUGCAUUCAUGUAUGAUGUCAUUAAAUAUAUAUUUGGUCUGUCUAAAACUAUCUGGCAUUUGUCCUUUACCAACACUGCAGGGUAUUUUAGUUUCUCAAUAUGUAAGUUUAAAAGGCACAGCCAAAUCUAAUGAAUGUCAAACUCAAGUCCACUACAGUACUUUCAAACAGGAAAAAAAGAAAAAAGGAAGGAUUAAUUAGGAUGAAUAAUCACUUGAAAAGAAUACAAAGAGGAACUCUCUAAAACCAUUAAUCCCCCUGAAUAUGUUUAAAUUCGAAUUAACUAAAACACCACUGCUGAGGGAAAGUGUUGGUCCUUUAUGAGAAAACAGGCAUUGAAAGUAUGAAUGCAGUAUUCUAAAAGGUGGUAAAGCUGAGCAUUCAAACAUGUUUCCCGAAGGGUGAUCUAUUUAAGCUAAUAAACCCAGUGUGGUGGCCCACGUCUAUGCCCUAGCACGCUGGAGGUAAAAUCAGGGCUAUCAGGAAUUCAAGGUCAUCCACCACAGGAUGUUCAAAGCCAGCCUGGGCUAUGAGACCCUUAUUCAAAAAAUAUACAUAUAUAAGAACAGGUGAGACAGCUCCACAGGUAAAGGUAGCUGCCACCAAGUUUCAUGACCAGACUUUGACCCCCACAAUCAAUGUGCUGGAAGGAUAUAACUCCCAAAAACUGCAGUAACUAAAAGCACAAAUAAUCAAAGCCUGAGCAGAAAUGGUAUGGGAUAAGUAGGGUGUUAGUGGGGG